CUCCAACCACUGAGCCACCCAGCUGCUGCCCCGCUUCAGCCUCUAGAAAUAAAAAAGUAAAACAGGACAAGCUGGUUCUGUGUGGCCCCUUGCCCCUCUCAGUUCGGUGGUCCUGGGAUCUGCACCUGCGGCGGGUUCCAGACGCUCCCCUGGAGGCGUGGGGGUCACGGUUCAUCACUCAGAAGCCUGGUCUGUAGGAACUCCAGCUUGGCUGGAGCCGGGGAGCCCCCAGGCCACGACUUUGGGAAGUCAGUUCUCAAGGAGCAGCCGGAUUCCUCUUCUUGACUCACAGAUCUGCCCUCCUCUGCUCAAAACUCAAGUCGCUCCCUGCCUUCCAAAAGCCGCCCUUCCCUGGGCGUUGCCCACCCAGACUUCCCACGUCGUCUCCUCCGUCACUCCUGCCCUCCUCCAGGUGGGGAGAACUCCUCCGGCCUCUGGUCUGCACUCACGCUCCUCCCCAGGUGUCCAGAGCAGGACCACCAGGACAUGAAGGGUCUCAAGCCCACGGUGUGUGCGGGUCAGCCGGAGGACCCAGAGGAGGCUCAGUGGGCACUCUAGCCACCCUGGCUGUUUGAAGGGCUGCGGCAAGAGGACGGGGUGGACUGCUCUAGCCCAGGGGCAGAGUCCCCAAAAGUGGAAUGGGCUGCCGCAGGAGUUGGUAAACUCCCCAUCACCAGAAGUAUCCAAGCAAAGACCGGGUGAUGUCUACCUGUCCCAUGUUGUAGAAAGGAUUCUUGACUUUCUGUGAUUCUGUUCCCGGAGUGUUCCCUCUGCCCCUUCUGUCUGCUGGGGGCUGCCUUCUUCUUAGGAGCCAUCUCCCCUGAGAAACCUUCCCUGAUCUCUCCCAUCAGCAAAGAUCUCUUCUUACCCCCCACCCCCUACACACAUGCACACACACACACUCACAUACACACACUCACACACCUGUAAUUUCACAUCUCUUCAACACAUUUCUGUAAUACUUUGAGAAGAAUCUGGAAUCAUGCCAGCGUGGGUCUCAAUCCUCUACCCUUCUCCUCUUGGGCACUCCACAGUCCUCCAGAGAGUGUCCACACAGGGUCCUGGAGGCCUCUCUGGGAUUCCGUCGUGAUGCCCCUGGGCCACCCCUCCGCAAUCCUUCCCUAUUUACACCCCCCACCCCGGGCAGCUGUCCCUUCAUUGCCUUUGGAUUGAUCACCUUCAGCUGUGA
Vombatus ursinus (common wombat) is the source of this 1189-nucleotide long non-coding RNA. RefSeq lists it as uncharacterized. The record is from RefSeq and is a predicted model, not a curated record. Lineage: Eukaryota; Metazoa; Chordata; Mammalia; Diprotodontia; Vombatidae. The transcript has 2 exons.